Molecule: ribosomal RNA, 500 nt
Filed under: uncultured bacterium
Lineage: Bacteria
Description: partial 16S ribosomal RNA
Rfam family: Bacterial small subunit ribosomal RNA
Source: RNAcentral
GACGAACGCUGGCGGCGCGCUUAACACAUGCAAGUCGAACGGAAAGGCCUGCUUUCCCUUGUGGUUUGCGGGUACUCGAGUGGCGAACGGGUGAGUAACACGUGAGUGAUCUGCCCCCAACUUGGGUAUAAGCCUGGGAAACUGGGUCUAAUUCCCGAUAGGACUGCAGGGUGGUGCCUGUGGUGGAAAACGAUUUUCUAGUGGUUGGGGAUGAGCUCGCGGCGUAUCAGCUUGUUGGUGGGGUAAUGGCCUACCAAGGCGAUGACGGGUAGCCGAACUGAGACGGGGAGGGGGGACAGCGGCAUUGAGACUGGGACAAGACCCAUACUGGAAGGAGAAGUAGCAAAGGGGAAUCUUGGGGAGUGAGCGGGAGCCAGAUGCGGCGAGGGUGCGUAGAAGGUGACGGGCUUGGAGUUGUAAGCUCCUUGCGACCAAGAGGAGUCCACCUAGUUGGAAGGGUGGUGACGGUAGUGGUAGAAGAAGCACCGGCUAACUACGUG